Molecule: ribosomal RNA, 3006 nt
Filed under: Salmonella enterica subsp. enterica
Lineage: Bacteria; Pseudomonadati; Pseudomonadota; Gammaproteobacteria; Enterobacterales; Enterobacteriaceae
Description: 23S ribosomal RNA
Rfam family: Bacterial large subunit ribosomal RNA
Source: RNAcentral
GGUUAAGCGACUAAGCGUACACGGUGGAUGCCCUGGCAGUCAGAGGCGAUGAAGGACGUGUUAAUCUGCGAUAAGCGCCGGUAAGGUGAUAUGAACCGUUAUAACCGGCGAUUUCCGAAUGGGGAAACCCAGUGUGAUUCGUCACACUAUCAUUAACUGAAUCCAUAGGUUAAUGAGGCGAACCGGGGGAACUGAAACAUCUAAGUACCCCGAGGAAAAGAAAUCAACCGAGAUUCCCCCAGUAGCGGCGAGCGAACGGGGAGGAGCCCAGAGCCUGAAUCAGCAUGUGUGUUAGUGGAAGCGUCUGGAAAGGCGCGCGAUACAGGGUGACAGCCCCGUACACAAAAGCGCAUGUGCUGUGAGCUCGAUGAGUAGGGCGGGACACGUGGUAUCCUGUCUGAAUAUGGGGGGACCAUCCUCCAAGGCUAAAUACUCCUGACUGACCGAUAGUGAACCAGUACCGUGAGGGAAAGGCGAAAAGAACCCCGGCGAGGGGAGUGAAAAAGAACCUGAAACCGUGUACGUACAAGCAGUGGGAGCCCCACCACUAAGCCAGUGGUGAACUCCACAUACGCAUCCUUUGCUGAGGAUACGGUUAACGGAGCGAAAGCGACGUUCAACCUCAAAAGAAGCAGAGGGGGCUUAGUGGUGGGGUGACUGCGUACCUUUUGUAUAAUGGGUCAGCGACUUAUAUUCUGUAGCAAGGUUAACCGAAUAGGGGAGCCGGAGGGAAACCGAGUCUUAAUUGGGCGUUAAGUUGCAGGGUAUAGACCCGAAACCCGGUGAUCUAGCCAUGGGCAGGUUGAAGGUUGGGUAACACUAACUGGAGGACCGAACCGACUAAUGUUGAAAAAUUAGCGGAUGACCUGUGGCUGGGGGUGAAAGGCCAAUCAAACCGGGAGAUAGCUGGUUCUCCCCGAAAGCUAUUUAGGUAGCGCCUCGUGAAUUCAUCUCCGGGGGUAGAGCACUGUUUCGGCUAGGGGGCCAUCCCGGCUUACCAACCCGAUGCAAACUGCGAAUACCGGAGAAUGUUAUCACGGGAGACACACGGCGGGUGCUAACGUCCGUCGUGAAGAGGGAAACAACCCAGACCGCCAGCUAAGGUCCCAAAGUCAUGGUUAAGUGGGAAACGAUGUGGGAAGGCCCAGACAGCCAGGAUGUUGGCUUAGAAGCAGCCAUCAUUUAAAGAAAGCGUAAUAGCUCACUGGUCGAGUCGGCCUGCGCGGAAGAUGUAACGGGGCUAAACCAUGCACCGAAGCUGCGGCAGCGACACUGUGUGUUGUUGGGUAGGGGAGCGUUCUGUAAGCCUGCGAAGGUGGCCUGUGAGGGUUGCUGGAGGUAUCAGAAGUGCGAAUGCUGACAUAAGUAACGAUAAAGCGGGUGAAAAGCCCGCUCGCCGGAAGACCAAGGGUUCCUGUCCAACGUUAAUCGGGGCAGGGUGAGUCGACCCCUAAGGCGAGGCCGAAAGGCGUAGUCGAUGGGAAACGGGUUAAUAUUCCCGUACUUGGUGUUACUGCGAAGGGGGGACGGAGAAGGCUAUGUUGGCCGGGCGACGGUUGUCCCGGUUUAAGCGUGUAGGUGUGUGUUCCAGGUAAAUCCGGUUCACUUUAACACUGAGGCGUGACGACGAGGCACUACGGUGCUGAAGCAACAAAUGCCCUGCUUCCAGGAAAAGCCUCUAAGCAUCAGGUAACAUCAAAUCGUACCCCAAACCGACACAGGUGGUCAGGUAGAGAAUACCAAGGCGCUUGAGAGAACUCGGGUGAAGGAACUAGGCAAAAUGGUGCCGUAACUUCGGGAGAAGGCACGCUGACACGUAGGUGAAGUGAUUUACUCACGGAGCUGAAGUCAGUCGAAGAUACCAGCUGGCUGCAACUGUUUAUUAAAAACACAGCACUGUGCAAACACGAAAGUGGACGUAUACGGUGUGACGCCUGCCCGGUGCCGGAAGGUUAAUUGAUGGGGUCAGCGCAAGCGAAGCUCCUGAUCGAAGCCCCGGUAAACGGCGGCCGUAACUAUAACGGUCCUAAGGUAGCGAAAUUCCUUGUCGGGUAAGUUCCGACCUGCACGAAUGGCGUAAUGAUGGCCAGGCUGUCUCCACCCGAGACUCAGUGAAAUUGAACUCGCUGUGAAGAUGCAGUGUACCCGCGGCAAGACGGAAAGACCCCGUGAACCUUUACUAUAGCUUGACACUGAACAUUGAGCCUUGAUGUGUAGGAUAGGUGGGAGGCUUUGAAGUGUGGACGCCAGUCUGCAUGGAGCCGACCUUGAAAUACCACCCUUUAAUGUUUGAUGUUCUAACGUGGACCCGUAAUCCGGGUUGCGGACAGUGUCUGGUGGGUAGUUUGACUGGGGCGGUCUCCUCCUAAAGAGUAACGGAGGAGCACGAAGGUUGGCUAAUCCUGGUCGGACAUCAGGAGGUUAGUGCAAUGGCAUAAGCCAGCUUGACUGCGAGCGUGACGGCGCGAGCAGGUGCGAAAGCAGGUCAUAGUGAUCCGGUGGUUCUGAAUGGAAGGGCCAUCGCUCAACGGAUAAAAGGUACUCCGGGGAUAACAGGCUGAUACCGCCCAAGAGUUCAUAUCGACGGCGGUGUUUGGCACCUCGAUGUCGGCUCAUCACAUCCUGGGGCUGAAGUAGGUCCCAAGGGUAUGGCUGUUCGCCAUUUAAAGUGGUACGCGAGCUGGGUUUAGAACGUCGUGAGACAGUUCGGUCCCUAUCUGCCGUGGGCGCUGGAGAACUGAGGGGGGCUGCUCCUAGUACGAGAGGACCGGAGUGGACGCAUCACUGGUGUUCGGGUUGUCAUGCCAAUGGCACUGCCCGGUAGCUAAAUGCGGAAGAGAUAAGUGCUGAAAGCAUCUAAGCACGAAACUUGCCCCGAGAUGAGUUCUCCCUGAGACUUUAGGUCUCCUGAAGGAACGUUGAAGACGACGACGUUGAUAGGCCGGGUGUGUAAGCGCAGCGAUGCGUUGAGCUAACCGGUACUAAUGAACCGUGAGGCUUAACCUU